This 771-nucleotide long non-coding RNA is filed under the name Chlamydomonas reinhardtii. RNAcentral describes it as "long non-coding RNA (CREI_LNC000022)". The record is from RNAcentral. Lineage: Eukaryota; Viridiplantae; Chlorophyta; Chlorophyceae; Chlamydomonadales; Chlamydomonadaceae.
CGCUCUGAGAAAGUUUCGUUUCUGCACCUCAGCGCCGAGCUCGCCAGUUGUCAUGGUCAGUAACUUAAAGCUGUCGCAUUGUGUGGGCGCAAUACUGUUUACGCGCAAAACGCGUUAACGCUAACCGCCGACCGCGUGAUGGCACCCUGCGGCCCCCGUGUCACGCCAGGUCACGCCUGACAGCCGACCCCGGACGCCCGCCUAACCCCGCUGACCCCUGUUAGCCCCCGUAGCACCUGGUGCCACGCCAGGCCAAUGAGUGCUCCCGCCGUACUGUUGUCCCAGCUGCCCGCCAGGCCGCCCAAGGGUCCAUGCCAAGCCUUCCAACGGUUGAUGUAACCCGCGGCCACUUUGGCGGGGACGGCUUGGUCCUACUCCCCUUGUUGGUCGCCCUGUGCCGUCGCCCUGUGCCUUAUACUGUAACCUCGCAUUCUUGAUGCCAGUACAGCUGGCGGCGGCUACCCACUCCUACCCAGGGAUGCCCAGGGAUGGAGUGAUGGACCAAUGGGCAUUCGCGCAUGUUGCGCUUCCGGCGUUUGCGAGACUGCAGCUGCAGGCAUGUUAUCUGAGCUCGGCACAGGCAAACCAGCGUUCGUGGCUUCUGCGGGCUUAAAACAUUUAGGAGGUCAAGGCGAGGCACCGUGUAUCACGGGGAGCCCCGUCGGCUUGACAUGGGAGAGGCACACACUCCACCCCUGUGCGUCCAUCCAGAAGUUCUGACUUCAUGGCCUCGAGGUUGCACGCAGCGAUACGACUCAUACGACGAGGACG